CUACGGAAGGCAGCAGUAGGGAAUAUUGGACAAUGGGGGCAACCCUGAUCCAGCAAUGCCGCGUGAGUGAUGAAGGCCUUAGGGUUGUAAAGCUCUUUCGCGCGCGACGAUGAUGACGGUAGCGCGAGAAGAAGCCCCGGCUAACUUCGUGCCAGCAGCCGCGGUAAUACGAAGGGGGCGAGCGUUGUUCGGAAUUACUGGGCGUAAAGGGCGCGCAGGCGGCCUUUCAAGUCAGGCGUGAAAGCCCCGGGCUUAACCUGGGAAUUGCGCUUGGGACUGAGAGGCUUGAGUACGGGAGAGGAGAGUGGAAUUCCCAGUGUAGAGGUGAAAUUCGUAGAUAUUGGGAAGAACACCGGUGGCGAAGGCGGCUCUCUGGACCGUAACUGACGCUGAGGCGCGAAAGCGUGGGGAGCAAACAGGAUUAGAUACCCCGGU
This 435-nucleotide ribosomal RNA is filed under the name uncultured bacterium. RNAcentral describes it as "bacterial SSU rRNA". It matches the Rfam family "Bacterial small subunit ribosomal RNA", at positions 339 to 791 of the family's 1533-position model. The record is from RNAcentral.